GUAGGUGAACCUGCGGAAGGAUCAUUAACACGUAUACACGUAUCAACACUCUGUGAACAUAAUCUCCCUAACGUUGAACAGCUGUUAAUAGGAUUAGUGGUGGGUAUGGCAAUCUCAACAAUUGUUAUACAAUUCUAUUAACUAGGGUUUCGAACCCAGUGCUUUCUCUGUUAGGCAAUAAAACCUUCCAUCACUGUUCAACACAAACCAUUUUCACUAUAUAACUCAACUUGACUGAUGUACUUAUGUAAGAGAAAUCUGGCAUAAGCAAGUUAUUCUAAACUAAGCACAACUCUUAGCAAUGGAUAUCUUGGUUCUC
This 319-nucleotide unclassified non-coding RNA is filed under the name rhizosphere metagenome. RNAcentral describes it as "partial ribosomal RNA internal transcribed spacer region". The record is from RNAcentral.